Molecule: ribosomal RNA, 492 nt
Filed under: uncultured bacterium
Lineage: Bacteria
Description: partial 16S ribosomal RNA
Rfam family: Bacterial small subunit ribosomal RNA
Source: RNAcentral
AGUGAACGCUGGCGGUAGGCCUAACACAUGCAAGUCGAACGGCAGCACAGUAAGAGCUUGCUCUUACGGGUGGCGAGUGGCGGACGGGUGAGGAAUACAUCGGAAUCUACUUUUUCGUGGGGGAUAACGUAGGGAAACUUACGCUAAUACCGCAUACGACCUACGGGUGAAAGCAUGGGAUCUUCGGACCUUGCGCGAUUGAAUGAGCCGAUGUCGGAUUAGCUAGUUGGCGGGGUAAAGGCCCACCAAGGCGACGAUCCGUAGCUGGUCUGAGAGGAUGAUCAGCCGCACUGGAACGGAGACAGGGACCAGACUCCUACGGGAGGCAGCAGUGGGGAAUAUUAGACAAUGGGCGCAAGCCUGAUCCAGCCAUACCGCGUGGGUGAAGAAGGCCUUCGGGUUGUAAAGCCCUUUUGUUGGGAGAGAAAAGCAGCAGGUUAAUACCCCGCUGUUCUGACGGUACCCAAAGAAUAAGCACCGGCUAACUUCGUG